RNAcentral lists this ribosomal RNA (772 nucleotides) under Lactobacillus casei group sp. RNAcentral describes it as "bacterial SSU rRNA". It matches the Rfam family "Bacterial small subunit ribosomal RNA", at positions 60 to 795 of the family's 1533-position model. The record is from RNAcentral. Lineage: Bacteria; Bacillati; Bacillota; Bacilli; Lactobacillales; Lactobacillaceae.
AGUCGAACGAGUUCUCGUUGAUGAUCGGUGCUUGCACCGAGAUUCAACAUGGAACGAGUGGCGGACGGGUGAGUAACACGUGGGUAACCUGCCCUUAAGUGGGGGAUAACAUUUGGAAACAGAUGCUAAUACCGCAUAGAUCCAAGAACCGCAUGGUUCUUGGCUGAAAGAUGGCGUAAGCUAUCGCUUUUGGAUGGACCCGCGGCGUAUUAGCUAGUUGGUGAGGUAACGGCUCACCAAGGCGAUGAUACGUAGCCGAACUGAGAGGUUGAUCGGCCACAUUGGGACUGAGACACGGCCCAAACUCCUACGGGAGGCAGCAGUAGGGAAUCUUCCACAAUGGACGCAAGUCUGAUGGAGCAACGCCGCGUGAGUGAAGAAGGCUUUCGGGUCGUAAAACUCUGUUGUUGGAGAAGAAUGGUCGGCAGAGUAACUGUUGUCGGCGUGACGGUAUCCAACCAGAAAGCCACGGCUAACUACGUGCCAGCAGCCGCGGUAAUACGUAGGUGGCAAGCGUUAUCCGGAUUUAUUGGGCGUAAAGCGAGCGCAGGCGGUUUUUUAAGUCUGAUGUGAAAGCCCUCGGCUUAACCGAGGAAGCGCAUCGGAAACUGGGAAACUUGAGUGCAGAAGAGGACAGUGGAACUCCAUGUGUAGCGGUGAAAUGCGUAGAUAUAUGGAAGAACACCAGUGGCGAAGGCGGCUGUCUGGUCUGUAACUGACGCUGAGGCUCGAAAGCAUGGGUAGCGAACAGGAUUAGAUACCCUUGGUAGUC